This 489-nucleotide ribosomal RNA is filed under the name Fusarium oxysporum. RNAcentral's name for it is "eukaryotic LSU rRNA". The stretch from base 135 to 288 matches the Rfam family "5.8S ribosomal RNA". The record is from RNAcentral. Lineage: Eukaryota; Fungi; Ascomycota; Sordariomycetes; Hypocreales; Nectriaceae.
CCCAAACCCCUGUGAACAUACCACUUGUUGCCUCGGCGGAUCAGCCCGCUCCCGGUAAAACGGGACGGCCCGCCAGAGGACCCCUAAACUCUGUUUCUAUAUGUAACUUCUGAGUAAAACCAUAAAUAAAUCAAAACUUUCAACAACGGAUCUCUUGGUUCUGGCAUCGAUGAAGAACGCAGCAAAAUGCGAUAAGUAAUGUGAAUUGCAGAAUUCAGUGAAUCAUCGAAUCUUUGAACGCACAUUGCGCCCGCCAGUAUUCUGGCGGGCAUGCCUGUUCGAGCGUCAUUUCAACCCUCAAGCACAGCUUGGUGUUGGGACUCGCGUUAAUUCGCGUUCCUCAAAUUGAUUGGCGGUCACGUCGAGCUUCCAUAGCGUAGUAGUAAAACCCUCGUUACUGGUAAUCGUCGCGGCCACGCCGUUAAACCCCCAACUUCUGAAUGUUGACCUCGGAUCAGGUAGGAAUACCCGCUGAACUUAAGCAUAUCA